Long non-coding RNA from Callorhinus ursinus (northern fur seal), 1190 nucleotides. RefSeq lists it as uncharacterized. The record is from RefSeq and is a predicted model, not a curated record. Lineage: Eukaryota; Metazoa; Chordata; Mammalia; Carnivora; Otariidae.
CAGUGUGCGCAGGCGUACUUGGUGUGGAGUGGUGCGAACUAGACGGAGAAAGCGCCCGAAGAAAAGGAGGAAGAGCAAGAAGAUGGGGAGUUGGAAGGGGGGGGAAAUGGGCAAAGAAAGAAAAGGGAUUGAGAGAAAGUCGUGUACCUGUUUCUGUUUUUCUCGGCAGGAAGGAGUUACAGGCGCCUCAGGCUGUUCACUGUAGCUGUUCAAUUUGACAAAGCUUUGCCGGAUGUGGCCUUGGCAAACCAGUGGAGGAGCAAACCAGCUGUGAGCCGGAAGCGCAGCUCGGAGCAGGAAUACAGAGCAAAACCCAAGACAAAACAAGGGGCAAAAAUUAGCUAAACCCCCAGACUGAAGAUUGGUAAUUCAGAAUGAACAAAACCGUUUGUAAUCUGGCUUUCAGUUUUUUAUAUUCAUUAUCUUAGUAAUGUGGCAAACAUUUAAGUACGAAGUCCACUGCUUUCAAUGGUGUGGUAGAGACACAGACAUUAUAAAACUUUGUCUCAAAAGCCAGAUCAAUCAAAUUUUGACAAGUAUUGUUCUGAAGACUGGAGAAUGCACAACUUUUGGCAUAUAGCAGCUCCAUCACAACCUCUACACUAAGAGACUUGACAAAACUAGUAUGGCUUCUGGCAGUUUAAGGCCUUGUCCCUAGAAUAACCAGAGACCCGGUUAAAAUGCUUUGGUGGAAAAGCUAACAAUGCAGGAGAAUUGACUGUUCCAGGCAAAGCCUCGUGAUAGGGAGAUAGUACCUACAUCCCUCUCUUAGAGCAGUUUCUUUCAAAAGUUUGCAAUUAUAAAUCCUUUCUCUGCCCUUUGUGCUAAAAAUCUAUCCAGAACGAUCCUCGAAGACCUGAGAGCCCCUCACUUUGAAAUGCAAUCAUUCAGGGAGAUAACUCCAUUCUAUCUCCCAGUCCUUGUGGGCCUCACUUGAAUGGACAUCUUUCUUUAAGUUGGACUGCUGCCUCUUGUCAUAAAGAUAGAAGUUUCUUCUCUGACAGGGACCAGUUAACAAACCCAGAUGGCCUACCCACGUGAAGCACCAACUCACCCCCUUGACACCCCUCAGUGCCUUUCCCUUAGCACACUAAAGGCUUUAAAAAGUCUCCAGCCUUCUGUUUCAGGGAGGUUGAGUUCAUUCACACAACAGUAUUACUGAAUAAAAUGUGUCCUUACCACUUUACCUA